RNAcentral lists this ribosomal RNA (253 nucleotides) under uncultured bacterium. Its description in RNAcentral is "partial 16S ribosomal RNA". It matches the Rfam family "Bacterial small subunit ribosomal RNA", at positions 524 to 776 of the family's 1533-position model. The record is from RNAcentral.
UACAGAGGGUGCGAGCGUUGUCCGGAAUCACUGGGCGUAAAGGGCGCGUAGGUGGCGCUCCAAGUCUGUGGUGAAAGCUCGAUGCUCAACAUCGAGUCGGCCACGGAGACUGGAGGGCUCGAGCACUGUAGGGGCAGAUGGAAUUCCGGGUGUAGCGGUGGAAUGCGUAGAGAUCCGGAAGAACACCGGUGGCGAAGGCGGUCUGCUGGGCAGUUGCUGACGCUGAGGAGCGAAAGCUAGGGGAGCAAACGGG